GUUAGGGAUUGCGUAAGGUCAAGUGAGGCCAGGUCAGGUCAGGGUGGAGUCAGGGAUGGGAUUGUAGGUUUGUGUUAGGGUCAUGCGAGGGUCAGGAUCAAGAAUGCAGAUUGGGUUAGUAUUAGGGUUAGAGUUAGGGAUUGUGUCAUGUCAGGUCAGGUCAGAUUAAGGUGAGGGUUGAGUCAGGCACGUGAUUGUAGGUUAGGAUUAGAAAGUGGUUAAUCAAGUUAGGAUUAGAUUGGGUUACUAUCAGCAUUAGGGUUAGGGAUUCUAUCAGGUU
RNAcentral lists this long non-coding RNA (280 nucleotides) under Elaeis guineensis (African oil palm). RNAcentral's name for it is "long non-coding RNA (EGUI_LNC007257)". The record is from RNAcentral. Lineage: Eukaryota; Viridiplantae; Streptophyta; Magnoliopsida; Arecales; Arecaceae.